ACCGGUAAUUGCUAGUUUGCUUCAAACAAGUUGCCAAGAUAUCAAGCCUCUCCAUCCACCUUCUUGCUUUGUUGCUUAAAUCAGUUCAGAUCUCAAAGAUAAAAUAUUGGCACUAGAGGAAGGGCCCUACCCUUUUUUGAAGAUUCAAGAGAUUGAAGAAGCUUGCAAUCAUGAAAUUAUGGAAGGUCCUACAAGAUGCUAAUGCCAU
Molecule: long non-coding RNA, 208 nt
Filed under: Elaeis guineensis (African oil palm)
Lineage: Eukaryota; Viridiplantae; Streptophyta; Magnoliopsida; Arecales; Arecaceae
Description: long non-coding RNA (EGUI_LNC052223)
Source: RNAcentral